RNAcentral lists this ribosomal RNA (717 nucleotides) under uncultured Escherichia sp. RNAcentral's name for it is "bacterial SSU rRNA". It matches the Rfam family "Bacterial small subunit ribosomal RNA", at positions 46 to 752 of the family's 1533-position model. Lineage: Bacteria; Pseudomonadati; Pseudomonadota; Gammaproteobacteria; Enterobacterales; Enterobacteriaceae. The record is from RNAcentral.
GCCUAACACAUGCAAGUCGAACGGUAACAGGAAGCAGCUUGCUGCUUCGCUGACGAGUGGCGGACGGGUGAGUAAUGUCUGGGAAGCUGCCUGAUGGAGGGGGAUAACUACUGGAAACGGUAGCUAAUACCGCAUAAUGUCGCAAGACCAAAGAGGGGGACCUUCGGGCCUCUUGCCAUCGGAUGUGCCCAGAUGGGAUUAGCUUGUUGGUGGGGUAACGGCUCACCAAGGCGACGAUCCCUAGCUGGUCUGAGAGGAUGACCAGCCACACUGGAACUGAGACACGGUCCAGACUCCUACGGGAGGCAGCAGUGGGGAAUAUUGCACAAUGGGCGCAAGCCUGGUGCAGCCAUGCCGCGUGUAUGAAGAAGGCCUUCGGGUUGUAAAGUACUUUCAGCGGGGAGGAAGGGAGUAAAGUUAAUACCUUUGCUCAUUGACGUUACCCGCAGAAGAAGCACCGGCUAACUCCGUGCCAGCAGCCGCGGUAAUACGGAGGGUGCAAGCGUUAAUCGGAAUUACUGGGCGUAAAGCGCACGCAGGCGGUUUGUUAAGUCAGAUGUGAAAUCCCCGGGCUCAACCUGGGAACUGCAUCUGAUACUGGCAAGCUUGAGUCUCGUAGAGGGGGGUAGAAUUCCAGGUGUAGCGGUGAAAUGCGUAGAGAUCUGGAGGAAUACCGGUGGCGAAGGCGGCCCCCUGGACGAAGACUGACGCUCAGGG